This 253-nucleotide ribosomal RNA is filed under the name uncultured bacterium. RNAcentral's name for it is "partial 16S ribosomal RNA". It matches the Rfam family "Bacterial small subunit ribosomal RNA", at positions 524 to 776 of the family's 1533-position model. The record is from RNAcentral.
CACGGGGGGAGCAAGCGUUGUUCGGAAUCACUGGGCGUAAAGGGCGUCUAGGCGGUUAGGUAAGUGGGAUGUGAAAUCCCUCGGCUCACCCGAGGACCUGCAUCCCAAACUGCUUAGCUUGAGUAUGGGAGAGGAUGAGGGAAUUCCUGGUGUAGCGGUGAAAUGCGUAGAUAUCAGGAGGAACACCGGUGGCGAAGGCGCUCAUCUGGCCCAAUACUGACGCUGAAGCGCGAAAGCUAGGGGAGCAAACGGG